AAAAGGUGGCUAUGCUACCGCUUUUGGAUGGGCCCGCGGCGCAUUAGCUAGUUGGUGGGGUAAAGGCUUACCAAGGCAAUGAUGCGUAGCCGAACUGAGAGGUUGAUCGGCCACAUUGGGACUGAGACACGGCCCAAACUCCUACGGGAGGCAGCAGUAGGGAAUCUUCCACAAUGGGCGAAAGCCUGAUGGAGCAACGCCGCGUGGGUGAAGAAGGUCUUCGGAUCGUAAAACCCUGUUGUUAGAGAAGAAAGUGCGUGAGAGUAACUGUUCACGUUUCGACGGUAUCUAACCAGAAAGCCACGGCUAACUACGUGCCAGCAGCCGCGGUAAUACGUAGGUGGCAAGCGUUAUCCGGAUUUAUUGGGCGUAAAGGGAACGCAGGCGGUCUUUUAAGUCUGAUGUGAAAGCCUUCGGCUUAACCGGAGUAGUGCAUUGGAAACUGGGAGACUUGAGUGCAGAAGAGGAGAGUGGAACUCCAUGUGUAGCGGUGAAAUGCGUAGAUAUAUGGAAGAACACCAGUGGCGAAAGCGGCUCUCUGGUCUGUAACUGACGCUGAGGUUCGAAAGCGUGGGUAGCAAACAGGAUUAGAUACCCUGGUAGUCCACGCCGUAAACGAUGAAUGCUAAGUGUUGGAGGGUUUCCGCCCCUCA
This 653-nucleotide ribosomal RNA is filed under the name uncultured bacterium. RNAcentral's name for it is "bacterial SSU rRNA". It matches the Rfam family "Bacterial small subunit ribosomal RNA", at positions 202 to 842 of the family's 1533-position model. The record is from RNAcentral.